This 542-nucleotide ribosomal RNA is filed under the name uncultured Pestalotiopsis. RNAcentral describes it as "SSU rRNA". It matches the Rfam family "Eukaryotic small subunit ribosomal RNA", at positions 549 to 1098 of the family's 1831-position model. The record is from RNAcentral. Lineage: Eukaryota; Fungi; Ascomycota; Sordariomycetes; Amphisphaeriales; Amphisphaeriaceae.
UGGAGGGCAAGUCUGGUGCCAGCAGCCGCGGUAAUUCCAGCUCCAAUAGCGUAUAUUAAAGUUGUUGCAGUUAAAAAGCUCGUAGUUGAACCUUGGGCCUGGCUGGCCGGUCCGCCUCACCGCGUGCACUGGUUCGGCCGGGCCUUUCCCUCUGGGGAACCCUAUGGUCUUCACUGAUCGUAGCGGGGAACCAGGACUUUUACUGUGAAAAAAUUAGAGUGUUCAAAGCAGGCCUAUGCUCGAAUACAUUAGCAUGGAAUAAUAAAAUAGGACGUGUGGUUCUAUUUUGUUGGUUUCUAGGACCGCCGUAAUGAUUAAUAGGGACAGUCGGGGGCAUCAGUAUUCAAUUGUCAGAGGUGAAAUUCUUGGAUUUAUUGAAGACUAACUACUGCGAAAGCAUUUGCCAAGGAUGUUUUCAUUAAUCAGGAACGAAAGUUAGGGGAUCGAAGACGAUCAGAUACCGUCGUAGUCUUAACCAUAAACUAUGCCGACUAGGGAUCGGACGGUGUUAUUUUUGACCCGUUCGGCACCUUACGGGAAAC